This 465-nucleotide ribosomal RNA is filed under the name uncultured bacterium. RNAcentral describes it as "partial 16S ribosomal RNA". It matches the Rfam family "Bacterial small subunit ribosomal RNA", at positions 28 to 507 of the family's 1533-position model. The record is from RNAcentral.
GACGAACGCUGGCGGCGUGCUUAACACAUGCAAGUCGAACGGAAAGGCCCCUUUGGGGGUACUCGAGUGGCGAACGGGUGAGUAACACGUGAGUAACCUGCCCUUGACUUCGGGAUAACUUCAGGAAACUGGGGCUAAUACCGGAUAGGAAUCCUUGCUGCAUGGUGGGGGUUGGAAAGCUUCGGCGGUUUUGGAUGGACUCGCGGCUUAUCAGCUUGUUGGUGGGGUAGUGGCUUACCAAGGCUUUGACGGGUAGCCGGCCUGAGAGGGCGACCGGCCACAUUGGGACUGAGAGACGGCCCAGACUCCUACGGGAGGCAGCAGUGGGGAAUAUUGCACAAUGGGCGGAAGCCGGAUGCAGCAACGCCGCGUGCGGGAUGACGGCCUUCGGGUUGGAAACCGCUUUCAGCAGGGGCGAAGCUUGUGGUGACGGUACCUGCAGAAGAAGCACCGGCUAACUACGUG